This 275-nucleotide ribosomal RNA is filed under the name uncultured bacterium. Its description in RNAcentral is "partial 16S ribosomal RNA". It matches the Rfam family "Bacterial small subunit ribosomal RNA", at positions 338 to 613 of the family's 1533-position model. The record is from RNAcentral.
CCUACGGGUGGCUGCAGUGAGGAAUAUUGGUCAAUGGGAGCAAUCCUGAACCAGCAAUGCCGCGUGUGGGAUGAAGGGGCUUCGCCUCGUAAACCACUGUCGGAUGGGACGAAAAGAGGUAUAAACCUCUGGGACGGUACCAUCAAAGGAAGGGUCGGCUAACUACGUGCCAGCAGCCGCGGUAAUACGUAGGACCCAAGCGUUGUCCGGAAUCACUGGGUAUAAAGGGUGCGUAGGCGGCCAAGUGCGUCAGAGGUGAAAUAUCCGGGCUUAAC